GAUGAAGAACGUAGCGAAAUGCGAUAAGUAAUGUGAAUUGCAGAAUUCAGUGAAUCAUCGAAUCUUUGAACGCACAUUGCGCCCGCCAGUAUUCUGGCGGGCAUGCCUGUUCGAGCGUCAUUACAACCCUCAGGCCCCCGGGCCUGGCGUUGGGGAUCGGCGGAGCCCCCCGUGGGCACACGCCGUCCCCCAAAUGCAGUGGCGGUCCCGCCGCAGCUUCCAUCGCGUAGUAGCUAACACCUCGCGACUGGAGAGCGGCGCGGCCACGCCGUAAAACACCCAACUCUUCUGAAGUUGACCUCGAAUCAGGUAGGUAUACCCGCUGAACUUAAGCAUAUCAAUAAGCGGAGGA
This 352-nucleotide unclassified non-coding RNA is filed under the name soil metagenome. Its description in RNAcentral is "partial contains 5.8S ribosomal RNA, internal transcribed spacer 2, and large subunit ribosomal RNA". The stretch from base 1 to 120 matches the Rfam family "5.8S ribosomal RNA", at positions 35 to 154 of the family's 154-position model. The record is from RNAcentral.